GGGGGCCACUCUCUUCUCACUGGCUGUAUACUGGAUCAUGGUCAGGGUGUUUCAGAAGUUUAAUUAGUUGAAAGAUGUUCAGAUGUGGAUGCAUGACAUGCUUCUUCAGGUUGCUGUGUCAUCCCUCUAGAUGAUUUAUUGUCCUUGCUCCUUGUGUUAAGUAGUGGUUCAAACGGUGACUGUUCUGUUCAACCAAGUAUGUUGUUACAUAGUCUGUACAUUGUGUUCUUGAAAGAU
Molecule: long non-coding RNA, 237 nt
Filed under: Mytilus galloprovincialis (Mediterranean mussel)
Lineage: Eukaryota; Metazoa; Mollusca; Bivalvia; Mytilida; Mytilidae
Source: RNAcentral